This is a long non-coding RNA of Vitis riparia (riverbank grape), 278 nucleotides long. RefSeq lists it as uncharacterized. The transcript is spliced from 3 exons. NCBI's taxonomy places the organism in Eukaryota, Viridiplantae, Streptophyta, Magnoliopsida, Vitales, Vitaceae. The record is from RefSeq and is a predicted model, not a curated record.
AAAGAGAUAAUGAAUUCAUUCAUGAUGAUGAUAUAGAUGAUGUGUAGCUAAUAGUAUUGGAAAUGUCACAUCGAAGAGGAAGAGUACAAAUAGUGUCUCCAGAAGAUGAGUUGGACAAUCUACAACAACUCUUAGACAUACAACCUGCUGCAACUACUACUCCUAGUAGUUCUGAUCCUUCUGAUUCUUCAGAUCCUUCUGUUGUUGGUUCAUCCUCUAGCAAAAAGAGGACACGUGGCCUAACACGUAACUUAGAUUUACUUAGUAUGAAACCGGGG